Prunus avium (sweet cherry) is the source of this 528-nucleotide non-coding RNA. Lineage: Eukaryota; Viridiplantae; Streptophyta; Magnoliopsida; Rosales; Rosaceae. The record is from RefSeq and is a predicted model, not a curated record.
UUGCUCACUAGAGGGUGAUGGUCCACUUGUUUGCGAGCUUUUUGUGCAAACCAGUCUAACAUAAUGUGCUAGUGGGUAUAGCUCGGUUGGAUGAAUUCUUCCAUCUUCACUCAUGUGGACAGAGGUUCGAAACUCCCAGAACAGAUGGCCGAAACAAUCGAAGAAGAGUUGGAGCGACGCGCUUGCAAAGGCAAAUCGGGUAAACUGCAGAUUUGGGCUCAGAGCUCAAAAUCGGAUCCAUGACCUGUUGAUUUGAAGGGAACGACGUCACGAGUAAAACACAUUUCUUUGUCAUGAUGUAUGGGCUUUUUCGGGCAUCCGAGAUCGUUUUUAGUAGCUCGAAAUUUAGUUUUAAAGUUUUUAAAGUUUUUAAAGUUUUUGAAAACUUUGUUAUUUUCCUAUUUUAAUUCCUUUGUUAUUCCUAUGUUUUCUGGAAGUAUUUAAGCAUACUUUACCCGUGGUUAGGGUUAUGUUUUGUUAUUCUAAUUUUAUCAAUAAACUUUGAGGUUUCCUCAUAUCUUCCUGGUA